RNAcentral lists this small nucleolar RNA (211 nucleotides) under Nelumbo nucifera (sacred lotus). RNAcentral describes it as "Plant small nucleolar RNA U3". It matches the Rfam family "Plant small nucleolar RNA U3". Rfam says of the family: Small nucleolar RNAs (snoRNAs) are involved in the processing and modification of rRNA in the nucleolus. The record is from Rfam by way of RNAcentral. Lineage: Eukaryota; Viridiplantae; Streptophyta; Magnoliopsida; Proteales; Nelumbonaceae.
AUGAAAUUGAGCAGGAUCUGUUCUAUAGGCUCGUGCCUCUAUAUCCUUGAGAUGUAAGGAGACAGGAAACCUAGAUUUGAUGGAUGUAUUAGGACCGUGAGAUCAGAAUCUGAUCCCAUGAUCUGGGUCUCCUCAGCAGUAAAGGAUCGUUCUCAGACUGAAUCAUUGUCGAUUUGAUGGCUGAGAUGAUCUUAUGGUUGUAUGACUGACA